Molecule: ribosomal RNA, 640 nt
Filed under: uncultured bacterium
Lineage: Bacteria
Description: bacterial SSU rRNA
Rfam family: Bacterial small subunit ribosomal RNA (bases 1-544)
Source: RNAcentral
CCUACGGGAGGCAGCAGUAGGGAAUCUUCCACAAUGGGCGAAAGCCUGAUGGAGCAACGCCGCGUGAGUGAUGAAGGCCUUCGGGUUGUAAAACUCUGUCAUUCGGGACGAACCGGAGUCUGAGGAAAUGCAGACUCUCUGACGGUACCGGAGGAGGAAGCCCCGGCUAACUACGUGCCAGCAGCCGCGGUAAUACGUAGGGGGCAAGCGUUGUCCGGAUUCACUGGGCGUAAAGCGCGCGCAGGCGGUGAUGUAAGUCUGAGGUGAAAACCCGAAGCUCAACUUCGGGACUGCCUUGGAUACUGCGUCACUUGAGGAUAGGAGAGGCAAGGGGAAUUCCACGUGUAGCGGUGAAAUGCGUAGAGAUGUGGAGGAACACCUGUGGCGAAGGCGCCUUGCUGGCCUAUUUCUGACGCUGAGGCGCGAAAGCGUGGGGAGCAAACAGGAUUAGAUACCCUGGUAGUCCACGCUGUAAACGAUGAGUGCUAGGUGUAGGUGGGCUCAUACCCAUCUGUGCCGAAGCUAACGCAUUAAGCACNCCGCCCGUCGGGUAGGUACGGUCGCGACGACGUAGAACGUACGAAAGAAAGUUAGACGGCGUUGAGGACGNGCCGACGGACGACGACGAGGGAGGUUAGGG